Molecule: long non-coding RNA, 2748 nt
Filed under: Sinocyclocheilus anshuiensis
Lineage: Eukaryota; Metazoa; Chordata; Actinopteri; Cypriniformes; Cyprinidae
Description: lncRNA (ENSSANG00000008591.1)
Source: RNAcentral
UGAAGCUUUAACCACCACAGCAGUGAAUCCCACAACUAUGCCUGUAUUCUCAGUACCUAUAGCAACAGAAAAUGCUGCUCCAACAGAGACACCAUCUUCAACAAUAACAAUUGAAACUUACACAACCACAGCUGUGACCCCUACAACCACACUCAUAUUCUCACCAACUACAACAGCACCUUUAACAGCAACAAAUGCUGCUCCAACAACAAUAGCACAGUCUUCAACAACUGAAGCUUCAACAACCACAGACUGGAACCCCACAACCAUGCCUGAAUUCUCUGCACCUCCAGCAACAGACAAUGUUGCUCUAACAACAACUCCACUGUCUUCGACAACUGAAGCUUCUACUACCACAACUGUGAACCCCACAACCACGCUUAUAUUUUCAGAAACUACAACAACAGCAAAAGCUGCCCCAACAACACCAUUGUCAACAAUAAAUGAAGUUUCAACCACCACAGCAGUGAACCCGACAACCACAUCUGUAUUCUCAGUACCUAUGGCAACAGAAAAUGUUUCUCCAACAGACACACCAUCUUCAACAAUAGCAGCUGAAGUUUAUACAACCACAGCUGUAAACCACACAACCACACUCAUAUCCUCACCAACCACAAUUGCACCUUCAACAACAACCAAUGCUGCUCCAACUGCAACAGCACAAUCUUCAACAACUGAUGCUUCAACAACCGCAGCUGUGCAUCCCACAACCGCUCCUGUAUUCUCAAUACCUACAGCAACAGAAAAUGCUUCUCCAACAACAACUCCACUGUCUUCGACAACUGAAGCUUCUGCUACCACAGCUGUGAGCCCCACAACCACUUUUAUAUUUUCAGAAACUACAACAACAGCAAAAGCUGCCACAACAACACCAUUGUCAACAACAAAUGAAGCUACAACCACCACAGCAGUGAACCCCACAACCACACUCAUAUCCUCACCGACUACAACUGCACCCUCAACAGCAACAAAUGCUGCCUCAACUGCAGCAGCACAAUUUUCAACAACUGAAGCUCCAACAACCGCAGCCAGGAAUCCCACCACCAUGCUUGUAUUCUCUGUACCUCCAGCAACAGAAAAUGCAGCUCCAACAACAACUCCACUGUCUUUGAUGACUGAAGCUUCUACUACAACAGCUGUGAACCCCACAACCACUCUUAUAUCCUCAGCAACUGCACUUACAACAAAUGCUGCUACAGCACAAUCUUCGACCACUGAAGUUUAUGCAACCACAGCUGUGAGCCCUACAACCACUCUUAUUUCUUCAGAAUCUACAACAACAGCAAAAGCUGCUCCAACAACACCGUUUUCAACAACAAAUGAAGCUUCAAGCACCACAGCAGUGAAUCCCACAACCACGCCUGUUUUCUCAGCACCUACAGCAACUGAAAAUGGUGCUCCACCAACAACUCCAUUGUCUUCAACAACUAUAGCUUCUACUACCACAGCUGUGAACCCCACAACCACUCUUAUGUCUUCAGAAUCUACAACAACACCUUCAACAGCAACAAAUGCUGCUCCAACUGCUGACACUUCAACAACUGAAGCUUCAACAACUGCAGCCAGGAACCCCACAACUAUGCCUGUAUUCUCAAUACCUACAUCAACAGAAAAUGCUGCUCCAACAACAACUCCACUGUCUUUGACAGCUGAAGCUUCUACUACCACAGCUGUGAACCCCACAACCACUCUUAUAUCAUCAGCAAUUGCACCUACAACAACAACAACAAAUGCUGCUACACCACAAUCUUUGACCACUGAAGGUUAUACAACCACAGCUGUGAACCCCACAACCACUCUUAUUUCUUCAGAAUCUACAACAAUAGCUGCUCCAACAGCACCAUUGUCAACAACAAAUAAAGCUACAACCACCCCAGCAGUGAACCCCACAACAACGCCUGUAUUCUCAGUACCUACAGCAACAGAAAAUGCUGCUCCAACAGAGACGCCAUCGUCAACAAUUAAAAGUGAAGCUUAUACAACCACAGCUGUGACCCCAACAACCACACUCAUAUCUUCACCAACUGCAACUGCACAAUCUUCAACAACUGAAGCUUCAACAACCGCAGCCAGAAACCCCACAACCAUGCCUGUAUUCUCUCUACAUCCAGCAACAGAAAAUGUUGCUCCAGCAACAACUCCACAGUCUUCGACAACUGAAGCUUCUACUACCAAAGCUGUGAACCCCACAAGCACUCUUAUAUCCUCAGCAACUGCACCUACAACAACAACAAAAGCUGCUACAGCACAAUCUUUGACCACUGAAGAUUAUAAAACCACAGCUGUGAGCCCCACAACCACAGAAAAUGCUGCUUCAACAAAGACACCAUCUUCAGCAAUAACAACUGAAGCUUAUACAACCACAGCUGGGAACCCCACCACCAUGCCUGUAUUCUCUGCACCUCCAGCAACAGAAAAUGCUGCUCCAACAAUUCCAUUGUCUUUGACAACUAAAGCUUCUGCUACCCAAGCUGUGAACCCCACAUCCACUCAGAUAUCAUCAGAAACUACAAUAACAGCAAAAGCUGCUCCAACAACACCAUUGUCAACAACAAAUGAACCUUUAACAACCAAAGCAAUAAACCCCACAACCAUGCCUGUGUUCCCAGCACCUACAACUGCACCUCCAGCAACAGAAAAUGUGGCUCUAGCAACAACAGCACAGUCUUCAACAAAUGAAGCUUCUACAACCACAGUUGUGAAUUCUACAACCAUGCCUGUAUUUCCAGAACCUCCAACAAAUGCUGC